CAAUAGCGUAUAUUAAAGUUGUUGCAGUUAAAAAGCUCGUAGUUGGAGUUCGGGGAAAGCUCAGUCGGUCGGCCUAAUGGGUCAGAACUGGCUGACUCUCUCUUGUUUGCGGAUCCCUCCCGGAGUUAACUCUUCAGGUUGUGGAGUCCGCAUCGUUUACCUUGAAAAAUUAGAGUGUUCAAAGCAGGCGUUUGCUUGAAUAUAUUAGCAUGGAAUAAUGGAAUAGGACCCUGGUUCUAUUUUGUUGGUUUUGAGAGCCAGAGUAAUGAUUAAUAGGGAUAGUUGGGGGCAUUCAUAUUUCAUUGUCAGAGGUGAAAUUCUUGGAUUUAUGAAAGAUGAACUUCUGCGAAAGCAUUUGCCAAGGAUGUUUUCAUUAAUCAAGAACGAAAGUUAGGGGAUCGAAGACGAUUAGAUACCGU
Molecule: ribosomal RNA, 419 nt
Filed under: uncultured eukaryote
Lineage: Eukaryota
Description: bacterial SSU rRNA
Rfam family: Eukaryotic small subunit ribosomal RNA
Source: RNAcentral